This is an RNA transcript of Dioscorea cayenensis subsp. rotundata (Guinea yam), 1174 nucleotides long. It is a transcript of the gene named ubiquitin-like-specific protease 1D, with no coding region annotated. NCBI's taxonomy places the organism in Eukaryota, Viridiplantae, Streptophyta, Magnoliopsida, Dioscoreales, Dioscoreaceae. The record is from RefSeq and is a predicted model, not a curated record. The transcript is spliced from 6 exons.
UGGAUCAAAAUGAAGAAGAUACUUAAAAAAAAAAAUAUGUGUUUAUUCCCAUUGUUUGUUGGUGAACUCUAUUCCAUAUAAAAAUUCUUUUUUUUUCCACUUGGUGUGCCUUAAUUCAUUUAAUGUGUUUUUUUUAAUGAAAGGGGACACUGGAGCCUUCUUAUCCUUUGCAACUUUUGUGAAAAUAGGCAACCAAACAUUGAGAAGCCUUUCAUGUUACUAUUAGAUUCACUUCAUCAAGCAAAUCCAAAGAGGUUGGAGCCAGAUAUAAGAAGAUUUGUAUUGGACAUUUGUCGAACUGAGGCAAGAGAUGAGAAUAAAGCGGCUAUAUCCAAGAUUCCUCUUCUUAUUCCCAAUGUUCCGCAACAAAGAAAUGGUGUGGAUUGUGGCAUCUUUGUUCUCUACUACAUAUAUUUAUUUGUCCAAAAUGUCCCUACAAAUUUUGCUUUAGAUGGCUACCCAUAUUUUCUUAAGCGAGAUUGGUUUUGUCAAGAUGACAUAGAAAACUUUCGGACAGAAAUUCAAUUUUUUGGAUGAAAGGGCUAAAAAAAGCAAAAGUAAGCAGAUCGUACAUGAAAACACCCCAUAAUCAAGGAUCCAAAUCCUUUGUUGUUGUUCGUCAUGAACUUAUGAAGAAGGAUGAUGAAAGUGUAAUAGAUGAACAACAUGAGUGUAAUAGGAUUGAAUUGUAUAAAAGCACUCACUAUAAGAAAGGAAAAGGAUGGACAUCUUUAGAAGCAAAAACAAACUACGUGAGUUAAUUAUGAUAUCUAUAUAGAUUUUUAUUUAUAUUAUUGAAAGUUUAUGUAUACUUUUUUUUUGUGAAUUUAGUGUGCAAUGCAACAAAAGUUUAAGAAAGCUAUAGAUGAGAAUUAGGAUGUUGACGUUGACAAAAUUUGUGAUGAGGUUCUUGGCACUCGAUCUGGGUAUAUUAAAGGAUUAGGUUAUGGUCCAAAGCCAAAUGCUUCAAGAUGUGGACAUGCUAAGAUCAUCAAAGAUCUUGAAGAAGAAAAAAAUAUGUGGAAAAAGAAAUAUGAAGUUGAGGUUCUUGAAAAUAAAACCAAUCGAGCUCAAUUGACAAAGCAUGAAAAAAUGUUAAGGCAGAUAUUAGGAGCAAAAUAUGAUGAGCAUGAAGAAAAUAGUAAAAGGUAUUAUAUGAUUAUGUUUACCACAU